AAAAAAAAAAAAAAGAGAGAAGGAAAAGAGGGAAGAAGGGGAGAUUUUUGCUGAACUUCUGCACCUAAGAAGGUUGCUGCACUUGCGUGCACCUAGAUGAGUGAAUCUAACCUGUGCAUUAUGUAAAUCUUGCUGUCAAUGGGUAGUAGCAUGCUAGGAUGGGUUUGCAUGUGUAGUUUGGUCGGUGUAAUUGAGUUUGAUUCACCUCAUAGGUACUGAAUUUAUGGUUUCAGAGUGGGUUUAGAGACCUAAGUUGACUCUGACCCAUCUUUGGGAACCCUAAAAGUUGGGGCUUUUGGUAUGCAUGCUUCCAUUUAUGUAACUGGGAUUGAGAAUGAUGAAGGCAUGCAAUGAAUUAAAUUGAAGCAUGCAUAUGCUGUUGUUGUAUUUUUAUGGGUUAAUUGAGAAGAAUUUGCUCAAAUUCUUCUCUGAGCCAUAUGAAUUUCCUCAAUUGAGCUCAAUUGGAGCUGAAGCAUGGUAAGGCCAUGACACCUGCAACCUUUCAGCUCCAUAUGAGUGGAAAAUUAGAUGGAAAACCCCUAAUUAUGUGAUAUGGGUAUGUACGUUGUUAAAUCAGGGAUUCAAUUGGGUCAAUUGUUCCCUAUAAUACGUCUUCUCUAUGUUAAUUCCUUAUGUGAGCUUAUUGAAGGUUGUGUGUAGUUUAUAAUUAUUUUCCCCAAAGUAAUUCAAUCUCACUAAGUGAGAUUUGAGAGGGGAAGAGAGUUCAGCUCUCAGCUCAGCAACUCCAAGUUGCUCAAAAUUUUAGAUAUUUGUGGAAUUGCUGGGCUGAGUUGUAGCUCAUUGGUUUGGACAUUAUGUGAAUUGUAGAAUAAGCCUAGAGGUAUGUAGGAACCUCCCUUGCUGCCUUAUGCAUUGGCCCUUGGUCUUGUGCACAGCUAUCACAAUGGGUGUUCAGCAGGGCAGAUUCUGACAGACAAAAAAAUUCUGCAGACACCUGCAUCGGCGGGUGAUAGCGGUCGGCCGGUGGCCCUGCAGCCGACCUGCCAGUGGGAUGUCUGCAACCCCAAUAGCUGCCCAUGUUUUUCUGUUAACACCUUGCCCAUUUGUGGGAUAUGUUCCUAUCCUAAUACAUGGAAUUGACCCUAGAAGUAGGGAUAAAUUGAGAGAACUUCUAGGAAUUUAAACGAGGUUAGUAUGUUGACUUAAUAGGGUUGUUUGUGUUCAGCAAUGGACCUAUAUGUAGCUAUGUUAAAUAUUAUGUGUAUUAAUACAAUGAUGUACACCUUUUUUUAGGAACUUAAAUCUCCGGUGAGGAUACAAAGGUUGAUUUUGGGAAUUUAUCAUACUUGUGAUUCAGGUUAUAAGAUGGAGAGAUCACUAAGGCGCCAGAUACUACUAUUGAUGGUUUGAGAUAUGUUCUGGACAUUUGGUCAGUUAUUCCAGAUGCAAAGACAGAACAUUGACUCGACUGUGGGUGUGUUGACUGUGCCUUUGGAGGCUGGUGUUACUGAGUUUCUUUUGGGAGUUUAUUUUCUGUUAUGUAUAUAUUCUGCUGCUAUGUAAUAUACUUUAAUGGAUAUGUAAGAAUUGUGGAGAUGGAUAUGUAUUUCACUUUUUGAGAUGUAUAUAUAUGUCACUACCAUGUAGAUAUCACCAGUUUACAUAUGUGAACUUGAUAUAUCUAUGUAUCCUA
This is a long non-coding RNA of Macadamia integrifolia, 1654 nucleotides long. RefSeq lists it as uncharacterized. The record is from RefSeq and is a predicted model, not a curated record. NCBI's taxonomy places the organism in Eukaryota, Viridiplantae, Streptophyta, Magnoliopsida, Proteales, Proteaceae. The transcript is spliced from 2 exons.